Molecule: long non-coding RNA, 235 nt
Filed under: Musa acuminata (dwarf banana)
Lineage: Eukaryota; Viridiplantae; Streptophyta; Magnoliopsida; Zingiberales; Musaceae
Description: long non-coding RNA (MACU_LNC011643)
Source: RNAcentral
UUAUAGGGUUUCUAAACCUUAACUCCUAAUAGGACUCCUACUCAAGACUCCUACUUCUUACCAACUCCUAAUAGGACUUCUACUCAAGACUCCUAUUCCUUUACAACUCCUAAUUUAUCUCUAAGAAACAACCUCCUAACCCUAGCUAGCCUCUUCACCUCUUUAAUAGGGGUCGGCUUAGGUAGGUUUUACAUGAAUGCCCCUCUAAAUUAGGACUUUCCUAGCUAGAGUCCUA